RNAcentral lists this ribosomal RNA (519 nucleotides) under uncultured Ascomycota. RNAcentral's name for it is "eukaryotic LSU rRNA". It matches the Rfam family "Eukaryotic large subunit ribosomal RNA", at positions 1 to 520 of the family's 3401-position model. Lineage: Eukaryota; Fungi; Ascomycota. The record is from RNAcentral.
CGUUUGACCUCGGAUCAGGUAGGGAUACCCGCUGAACUUAAGCAUAUCAAUAAGCGGAGGAAAAGAAACCAACAGGGAUUGCCCUAGUAACGGCGAGUGAAGCGGCAACAGCUCAAAUUUGAAAUCUGGCUCUUUCAGAGUCCGAGUUGUAAUUUGCAGAGGGCGCUUUGGCUUUGGCAGCGGUCCAAGUUCCUUGGAACAGGACGUCACAGAGGGUGAGAAUCCCGUACGUGGUCGCUAGCUAUUGCCGUGUAAAGCCCCUUCGACGAGUCGAGUUGUUUGGGAAUGCAGCUCUAAAUGGGAGGUAAAUUUCUUCUAAAGCUAAAUAUUGGCCAGAGACCGAUAGCGCACAAGUAGAGUGAUCGAAAGAUGAAAAGCACUUUGGAAAGAGAGUCAAACAGCACGUGAAAUUGUUGAAAGGGAAGCGCUUGCAGCCAGACUUGCUUGCAGUUGCUCAUCCGGGCUUUUGCCCGGUGCACUCUUCUGCAGGCAGGCCAGCAUCAGUUUGGGCGGUGGGAU